GAUCCUGGCUCAGGACGAACGCUGGCGGCGUGCCUAAUACAUGCAAGUCGAGCGGACAGAUGGGAGCUUGCUCCCUGAUGUUAGCGGCGGACGGGUGAGUAACACGUGGGUAACCUGCCUGUAAGACUGGGAUAACUCCGGGAAACCGGGGCUAAUACCGGAUGCUURUUUGAACCGCAUGGUUCAAAYAUAAAAGGUGGCUUCGGCUACCACUUACAGAUGGACCCGCGGCGCAUUAGCUAGUUGGUGAGGUAACGGCUCACCAAGGCAACGAUGCGUAGCCGACCUGAGAGGGUGAUCGGCCACACUGGGACUGAGACACGGCCCAGACUCCUACGGGAGGCAGCAGUAGGGAAUCUUCCGCAAUGGACGAAAGUCUGACGGAGCAACGCCGCGUGAGUGAUGAAGGUUUUCGGAUCGUAAAGCUCUGUUGUUAGGGAAGAACAAGUACCGUUCGAAUAGGGCGGUACCUKACGGUACCWACCAGAAAGCMGG
RNAcentral lists this ribosomal RNA (495 nucleotides) under Bacillus subtilis. RNAcentral describes it as "bacterial SSU rRNA". It matches the Rfam family "Bacterial small subunit ribosomal RNA", at positions 15 to 494 of the family's 1533-position model. The record is from RNAcentral. Lineage: Bacteria; Bacillati; Bacillota; Bacilli; Caryophanales; Bacillaceae.